This 440-nucleotide ribosomal RNA is filed under the name uncultured bacterium. RNAcentral's name for it is "bacterial SSU rRNA". It matches the Rfam family "Bacterial small subunit ribosomal RNA", at positions 97 to 520 of the family's 1533-position model. The record is from RNAcentral.
GGCGAACGGGUGAGUAACACGUUGGGUAACCUGGCUCCUCGCAGGGGGACAACCGGGGGAAACCCCGGCUAAUACCCCGUACGCUCCGAGGUCCGCAUGGGCCACGGAGGAAAGGAAGCUUCGGCCAUCCGGCGAGGGAUGGGCCCGCGGUCCAUUAGCUAGUUGGUGGGGUAACGGCCUACCAAGGCGACGAUGGAUAGCUGGUCUGAGAGGAUGAUCAGCCACACUGGGACUGAGACACGGCCCAGACUCCUACGGGAGGCAGCAGUCGGGAAUCUUGCGCAAUGGGCGAAAGCCUGACGCAGCAACACCGUGUGGGCGACGAAGGCCUUCGGGUCGUAAAGCCCUGUUGUUGGGGACGAAGGGCGAAGGGUUAAUAGCCCCUAGCUUGACGGUACCCUUCGAGGAAGCCCCGGCUAACUACGUGCCAGCCGCCGCGG